Molecule: ribosomal RNA, 247 nt
Filed under: uncultured euryarchaeote
Lineage: Archaea; Methanobacteriati; Methanobacteriota
Description: partial 16S ribosomal RNA
Rfam family: Archaeal small subunit ribosomal RNA
Source: RNAcentral
CGCAGCCCGAGUGGUGGUCAUUAUUAUUGAGCCUAAAGCGUCCGUAGCCGGACUCGUAAAUCCUUGGGUAAAUCGGGCAGCUUAACUGUCCGAAUUCCGAGGAGACUGCGAGUCUUGGGACCGGGAGAGGUCAGAGGUACUCCAGGGGUAAGGGCUAAAUCUUGUAAUCCUUGGGGGACCACCAGUGGCGAAGGCGUCUGACUAGAACGGAUCCGACGGUAAGGGACGAAACCCUGGGGCGCAAACG